Molecule: ribosomal RNA, 253 nt
Filed under: uncultured bacterium
Lineage: Bacteria
Description: partial 16S ribosomal RNA
Rfam family: Bacterial small subunit ribosomal RNA
Source: RNAcentral
UACGGAGGGUGCGAGCGUUACCCGGAAUCACUGGGCGUAAAGGGCGUGUAGGCGGAUCAGUAAGUCCGGCUUUGAAGACCACCGCUCAACGGUGGGCAUGGGUUGGAUACUGGUGAUCUGGACCUCUGGAGAGGUGGCUGGAAUUCCUGGUGGAGCGGUGGAAUGCGUAGAUCCCAGGAGGAACACCGAUGGCGAAGGCAGGCCACUGGACAGAAGGUGACGCUGAGGCGCGAAAGUGUGGGGAGCGAACCGG